GACGAACGCUGGCGGCGUGCUUAACACAUGCAAGUCGAACGGAAAGGCCCCUUUGGGGGUACUCGAGUGGCGAACGGGUGAGUAACACGUGAGUAACCUGCCCUUGACUUCGGGAUAACUUCAGGAAACUGGGGCUAAUACCGGAUAGGAAUCCUUGCUGCAUGGUGGGGGUUGGAAAGCUUCGGCGGUUUUGGAUGGACUCGCGGCUUAUCGGCUUGUUGGUGGGGUAGUGGCUUACCAAGGCUUUGACGGGUAGCCGGCCUGAGAGGGCGACCGGCCACAUUGGGACUGAGAUACGGCCCAGACUCCUACGGGAGGCAGCAGUGGGGAAUAUUGCACAAUGGGCGGAAGCCUGAUGCAGCAACGCCGCGUGCGGGAUGACGGCCUUCGGGUUGUAAACCGCUUUCAGCAGGGGCGAAGCUUGUGGUGACGGUACCUGCAGAAGAAGCACCGGCUAACUACGUG
Molecule: ribosomal RNA, 465 nt
Filed under: uncultured bacterium
Lineage: Bacteria
Description: partial 16S ribosomal RNA
Rfam family: Bacterial small subunit ribosomal RNA
Source: RNAcentral